UGGGGGAUAUUGCACAAUGGGCGAAAGCCUGAUGCAGCGACGCCGCGUGGGGGAUGAAGGCCUUCGGGUUGUAAACUUUUUUUGCUCUGAACAAGGCAUGCUAAUGGGUGUGUUGAGUGUAGGGGUUGAUUAGCGCCGGCUAACUACGUGCCAGCAGCCGCGGUAAUACGUAGGGCGCGAGCGUUGUCCGGAAUUAUUGGGCGUAAAGGGCUUGUAGGUGGCUGGUUGCUUCUGUCGUGAAAGCUCAUGGCUUAACUGUGGGUUUGCGGUGGGUACGGGCUGGCUUGAGUGCAGUAGGGGAGGCUGGAAUUCCUGGUGUAGCGGUGGAAUGCGCAGGUAACAGGAGGAAUACCGGUGGCGAAGGCGGGACUCUGGGCUGUUACUGACACUGAGGAGCGAAAGCAUGGGGAGCGAACAGG
This 419-nucleotide ribosomal RNA is filed under the name bacterium. RNAcentral describes it as "partial 16S ribosomal RNA". It matches the Rfam family "Bacterial small subunit ribosomal RNA", at positions 355 to 776 of the family's 1533-position model. The record is from RNAcentral.